GCGAGAGUGGUGAAACUGGUAGACACGUCAGACUUAGGAUCUGGUGCCUUUGGCAUAAGGGUUCGAGUCCCUUCUCUCGCA
RNAcentral lists this transfer RNA (81 nucleotides) under Spirochaetaceae bacterium. RNAcentral's name for it is "tRNA-Leu". It matches the Rfam family "tRNA". Rfam says of the family: Transfer RNA (tRNA) molecules are approximately 80 nucleotides in length. Their secondary structure includes four short double-helical elements and three loops (D, anti-codon, and T loops). Further hydrogen bonds mediate the characteristic L-shaped molecular structure. tRNAs have two regions of fundamental functional importance: the anti-codon, which is responsible for specific mRNA codon recognition, and the 3' end, to which the tRNAs corresponding amino acid is attached (by aminoacyl-tRNA synthetases). tRNAs cope with the degeneracy of the genetic code in two manners: having more than one tRNA (with a specific anti-codon) for a particular amino acid; and 'wobble' base-pairing, i.e. permitting non-standard base-pairing at the 3rd anti-codon position. The record is from RNAcentral. Lineage: Bacteria; Pseudomonadati; Spirochaetota; Spirochaetia; Spirochaetales; Spirochaetaceae.